Molecule: ribosomal RNA, 2080 nt
Filed under: human gut metagenome
Description: bacterial LSU rRNA
Rfam family: Bacterial large subunit ribosomal RNA
Source: RNAcentral
AUUCCAAUCGAACCCGGAGAUAGCUGGUUCUCCCCGAAAUAGCUUUAGGGCUAGCCUCAAGCGUAGAGAAACGGAGGUAGAGCACUGAAUGUCCUAGGGGGUAUUGCACUUACCGAAGACUAUCAAACUCCGAAUGCCGUUUUCUUUUACUUGGGAGUCAGACUGUGGGUGAUAAGAUUCAUAGUCAAAAGGGCAACAGCCCAGAUCGUCAGCUAAGGUCCCUAAAUGUACGUUAAGUGGUAAAGGAUGUGGGAUUGCACAGACAACCAGGAUGUUGGCUUAGAAGCAGCCACUCAUUUAAAGAGUGCGUAAUAGCUCACUGGUCGAGUGAUCCUGCGCCGAAAAUUUCCGGGGCUAAAACGUACUACCGAAGCUACGGCAUCAUUUAUGAUGGGUAGGGGAGCUUCGUAUGCAGGCUGAAGCAUGACCGUAAGGACAUGUGGACAGUAUACGAGUGAGAAUGUUGGCAUGAGUAGCGAGACGUGGGUGAGAAUCCCACGGGCCGUAAACCCAAGGUUUCCAGGGGAAGGUUCGUCCGCCCUGGGUUAGUCGGGACCUAAGCCGAGGCCGAAAGGCGUAGGUGAUGGACAACAGGUUGAUAUUCCUGUACCGCCAAUAAGCGUUUGAGAGAUGGAGUGACACAGUAGGAUAAGCUAACCGUACUGUUGGUUAUGUACGGCUAAGCAUUGAGGCAGUCUAAAUAGGCAAAUCCGUUUAGACAAUGCUAGGAUGUGAUGGGGAAGCCCUUCGGGGCGAAGUAGCUGAUUUCACACUGUCAAGAAAAGCUUCUAUCGAGUUUAAAGGCGCCCGUACCGUAAACCGACACAGGUGGGUGAGGAGAGUAUCCUAAGGCCAGCGAGAGAACUAUUGUUAAGGAACUCGGCAAAAUGACCCCGUAACUUAGGGAGAAGGGGUGCCUGUCUAUGACAGGCCGCAGAGAAUAGGCCCAAGCGACUGUUUACCAAAAACACAGGUUUCUGCUAAGUCGCAAGACGAUGUAUAGGAGCUGACGCCUGCCCGGUGCUGGAAGGUUAAGGGGAUCUGUUAGAGCAAUCGAAGCAGUGAACUUAAGCCCCAGUAAACGGCGGCCGUAACUAUAACGGUCCUAAGGUAGCGAAAUUCCUUGUCGGGUAAGUUCCGACCCGCACGAAAGGCGUAACGAUUUGGGCACUGUCUCAACAAUAGACUCGGUGAAAUUGUAAUCCCGGUGAAGAUGCCGGGUACCUGCGACAGGACGGAAAGACCCCAUGGAGCUUUACUGUAGCUUGACGUUGGGUCUUGGUACUACAUGUACAGGAUAGGUGGGAGACUAUGAAGCAUGGACGCCAGUCUGUGUGGAGUCAUCCUUGGGAUACCACCCUUGUAGUACUGGGAUCCUAACCAUAGGCCUUGAAUCAGGUCUUGGAACACCGUCAGGUGGGCAGUUUGACUGGGGCGGUCGCCUCCUAAAAAGUAACGGAGGCGCUCAAAGGUUUCCUCAGCACGGUCGGAAAUCGUGCGAAGAGUGUAAAGGCAAAAGGAAGCUUGAUUGCAAGACAUACAGGUCGAGCAAGGACGAAAGUCGGACUUAGUGAUCCGGUGGUACCGCAUGGAAGGGCCAUCGCUCAACGGAUAAAAGCUACCCUGGGGAUAACAGGCUUAUCUCCCCCAAGAGUCCACAUCGACGGGGAGGUUUGGCACCUCGAUGUCGGCUCAUCACAUCCUGGGGCUGUAUUCGGUCCCAAGGGUUCGGCUGUUCGCCGAUUAAAGUGGUACGCGAGCUGGGUUCAGAACGUCGCGAGACAGUUCGGUCCCUAUCUGUCGUGGGCGCAGGAUAUUUGAGGAGCUCUGUCCUUAGUACGAGAGGACCGGGAUGGACGUACCUCUGGUGCACCAGUUGUCAUGCCAAUGGCACGGCUGGGCAGCUAUGUACGGAACGGAUAAACGCUGAAAGCAUCUAAGCGUGAAGCCGACUCCAAGAUUAGAUAUCCCAUCGUAUAACGAGUAAGACCCCUUGAAGACUACGAGGUUGAUAGGCUGCGUGUGUAAGUGCCGUGAGGCAUUCAGCUUGGCAGUACUAAUAGGUCGAGGGCUUGACCAC